This 1670-nucleotide long non-coding RNA is filed under the name Nicotiana tabacum (common tobacco). RNAcentral's name for it is "long non-coding RNA (NTAB_LNC017626)". The record is from RNAcentral. Lineage: Eukaryota; Viridiplantae; Streptophyta; Magnoliopsida; Solanales; Solanaceae.
AAUAGAAGCUAGAAAUCUGAUUUCAUUCCAUUCAAACCAUAAAUGUGAUAUAACAAUCUAGUAUUCAAUUCCAUUCCAAGGCUUGAAACAGAAGCAAAAACUCAACAAGAACGUUGGAACAAGAUUACAUCUCAUUAUGUCUUUGGUCUUAAGGCCAAAAAUGUGAGAAGCAGAAGACAAUUUUGUUCCAAUUUCAAAUACUAUUAGAAAUUUUGUUCAUAUUUUACAGAAGCAGAAACUUUAUUCUGUUCAAAUAAUUCCAGGAACAGGUAUGUUAAGGUUAUCCCUUCUAUUCAUUUGGCAUGAUCCAUACGAUACGAGCGAAACAUGCAAAUGCACAAAUUCCAUGAAUAACUCUAUUCAUAGAAGUAUUAGAAAAAUCUGUGUUCUUGAAUUUCCAUGUGUUAUAAUAUUUUAUCAUCUGUUCAUGGGUCUCAGAAAAAUACGAAAGCUAAAAAGAGGUUACUUUAUGAUAUUACUCAAAGGUAAAAUGGUCUUAUGACAAUUGCGAAAGAUUUUAUUAACGUACUUUUCAUGCAUUGCAUUCAUGUACAUUGACCCGUGACCAAAUGGCAUUAUAUNNNNNNNNNNNNNNNNNNNNNNNNNAACAUGUACCUAUGCAUGACAUCACAUUCAUACGCAUAUGCAUGAUACUAUAGUUAUUUCGUGAUUUACAAGUUAUUCAAACUUACAGGUUGAGUCAUGUACCUUAUAUUUCUUCCAUGUCUCUUAUGUAUUUAUUUAUGUGCCUUACAUACUCGGUACAUUAUUCAUACUGACGUCCUUUUUGCCUGGGGACGCUGCAUUUCAUGCCCGCAGGUCCCGAUAAACAGGUUGAGAGCCCUCCAAGUAGGCUAUCAGCUCAGUGGAAGAUGUUGGUGCGCUCUAUUUGCUUCAGAGUUUCUCAUUUGGUAUGUCGGGACUCUGUCCUGGCCUUUAUGACAUUUAUGUACUCUUAGAGGCUUAUAGACAUAUGCUAUGUACGUGAAAGAUUGUACGGUCUUGUUGGCCUAUGUUUUGAGUUUAUAAAUGAUCAUGUUAGCCUAUUAGGUCCGUAUGUCACGUGUAUAUGAUGAUGUAAUAAGAAAGAUAUGUUAUGUUGGUACUCGGUUGAGUAAGGUACCGGUUACCCAUCGCGGCCCAUCGGUUUGUGUCCUGACAAAAAAUGGUAUUAGAGCAGUUCUUUCCUAGGGAUGUCUACAAGUUGUGUCUAAUAGAGUCUUAUUUAUGGGAUUGUCAUGCACCACACUUAUAAGAAGGAGGCUACGGGGCAUUUAAGACUGUCACUCUUUCUUCUUAUUCUAGAUCGUGUGGUAAAGCUCACUUAUAAGAAUUCAAACUCCUAGCUUCUAUUUUAUUUAUAAUAUGACGAUACCUCUAAUUGGUUAGAGAUUGAAUACAGCUAUGGAAGAAUUGAGUAAGAGGAACUCAAUUUUGUAUGAUGCCUACAAUAAGUAAAUGUGAUGUCUUUAGCAGAUCAUGGGUGUACUGAAAGGUGUAAGCUUCCUGAUAAGAAGCCUUAAGGCAAGAAUGCCUAUCCAUUUUAAUGGUGAAAGACAAUGAGAGAUUAAGAAGAUAAAUAAAAGUUUCAACAAGCAAAAGAAGCAAGAUGAAGAAGGGUACGAGACACCUAGUUAAUAAAGGUUAACAGUGUUUAUAAUUCAGGCAGG